RNAcentral lists this ribosomal RNA (445 nucleotides) under uncultured bacterium. Its description in RNAcentral is "bacterial SSU rRNA". It matches the Rfam family "Bacterial small subunit ribosomal RNA", at positions 354 to 796 of the family's 1533-position model. The record is from RNAcentral.
GUGAGGAAUAUUGCGCAAUGGAGGCAACUCUGACGCAGCCAUGCCGCGUGCAGGAAGAAGGCGCUACGCGUUGUAAACUGCUUUUAACCGGGAAGAAACCCCAGGACGUGUCCUGGGUUGACGGUACCGGAGGAAUAAGCACCGGCUAACUUCGUGCCAGCAGCCGCGGUAAUACGAAGGGUGCAAGCGUUAUCCGGAUUCAUUGGGUUUAAAGGGUGCGUAGGCGGAGCGUUAAGUCAGUGGUGAAAUCCUGCAGCUUAACUGUAGACUUGCCAUAGAUACUGGCGCUCUUGAGUGCGCUUGAAGUGGGCGGAAUGUGCCGUGUAGCGGUGAAAUGCUUAGAUAUGGUACAGAACACCAAUUGCGAAGGCAGCUCACUAAGGCGAUACUGACGCUGAGGCACGAAAGCGUGGGGAUCGAACAGGAUUAGAUACCCCGGUAGUCC